This 254-nucleotide ribosomal RNA is filed under the name uncultured bacterium. RNAcentral's name for it is "partial 16S ribosomal RNA". It matches the Rfam family "Bacterial small subunit ribosomal RNA", at positions 524 to 777 of the family's 1533-position model. The record is from RNAcentral.
UACAGAGGUCUCAAGCGUUGUUCGGAUUCAUUGGGCGUAAAGGGUGCGUAGGUGGCGCCGUAAGUCAGGUGUGAAAUUUCGGAGCUUAACUCCGAAACUGCAUUUGAUACUGCGGUGCUUGAGGACUGGAGAGGAGACUGGAAUUUACGGUGUAGCAGUGAAAUGCGUAGAGAUCGUAAGGAAGACCAGUGGCGAAGGCGGGUCUCUGGACAGUUCCUGACACUGAGGCACGAAGGCCAGGGGAGCAAACGGGG